RNAcentral lists this ribosomal RNA (246 nucleotides) under uncultured bacterium. Its description in RNAcentral is "partial 16S ribosomal RNA". It matches the Rfam family "Bacterial small subunit ribosomal RNA", at positions 524 to 771 of the family's 1533-position model. The record is from RNAcentral.
GACAGAGGGUGCAAACGUUGUUCGGAAUUACUGGCGUAAGCGCGUGUAGGCUGCUUCGCAAGUCGGAUGUGAAAGCCCUGGGCUCAACCCAGGAAGUGCAUUCGAAACUGCAGAGCUGGAGUCCUGGAGAGGAAGGCGGACUUCUCGGUGUAGAGGUGAAAUUCGUAGAUAUCGAGAGGAACACCGGUGGCGAAGGCGGCCUUCUGGACAGUGACUGACGCUGAGACGCGAAAGCGUGGGGAGCAA